AGAGUUUGAUCCUGGCUCAGGAUGAACGCUGGCGGCGUGCCUAACACAUGCAAGUCGAGCGAGACGGUUAUGAUUGAUCCUUCGGGUGAGAGAUUAACUAGAAAGCGGCGGACGGGUGAGUAACGCGUGGGUAACCUGCCCUAUGGAGGGGGAUAACAUUCUGAAAAGGAUGCUAAUACCGCAUAAGCUGGCAGAUCCGCAUGGAUCAGUCAGAAAAACUCCGGUGCCAUAGGAUGGACCCGCGUAAGAUUAGCUAGUUGGUAAGGUAAUGGCUUACCAAGGCGACGAUCUUUAGCCGACCUGAGAGGGUGAUCGGCCACAUUGGGACUGAGACACGGCCCAAACUCCUACGGGAGGCAGCAGUGGGGGAUAUUGCACAAUGGAGGAAACUCUGAUGCAGCAACGCCGCGUGAAGGAAGACGGUUUUCGGAUUGUAAACUUCUAUCAGCUGGGAAGAAAAUGACUGUACCAGACUAAGAAGCCCCGGCUAACUACGUGCCAGCAGCCGCGGUAAU
This 515-nucleotide ribosomal RNA is filed under the name uncultured Bacillota bacterium. RNAcentral describes it as "bacterial SSU rRNA". It matches the Rfam family "Bacterial small subunit ribosomal RNA", at positions 8 to 524 of the family's 1533-position model. Lineage: Bacteria; Bacillati; Bacillota. The record is from RNAcentral.